UGAGGAAUAUUGGACAAUGGGCGCAAGCCUGAUCCAGCCAUGCCGCGUGCAGGAAGAAGCAUCUAUGGUGUGUAAACUGCUUUUGUACGGGAAGAAACACUCCUUCGUGAAGGAGCUUGACGGUACCGUAAGAAUAAGGAUCGGCUAACCCCGUGCCAGCAGCCGCGGUAAUACGGGGGAUCCAAGCGUUAUCCGGAAUCAUUGGGUUUAAAGGGUCCGUAGGCGGUUUAGUAAGUCAGUGGUGAAGGCCCAUCGCUCAACGAUGGAACGGCCAUUGAUACUGCUAGACUUGAAUUAUUAGGAAGUAGCUAGAAUAUGUAGUGUGGCGGUGAAAUGCUUAGCUAUUACAUGGAAUACCAAUUGCGAAGGCAGGUUACUACUAAUGGAUUGACGCUGAUGGACAAAGGCGUGGGGAGCGAACA
RNAcentral lists this ribosomal RNA (422 nucleotides) under uncultured bacterium. RNAcentral's name for it is "bacterial SSU rRNA". It matches the Rfam family "Bacterial small subunit ribosomal RNA", at positions 355 to 774 of the family's 1533-position model. The record is from RNAcentral.